Cervus elaphus (red deer) is the source of this 306-nucleotide long non-coding RNA. RefSeq lists it as uncharacterized. The record is from RefSeq and is a predicted model, not a curated record. The transcript is spliced from 2 exons. Lineage: Eukaryota; Metazoa; Chordata; Mammalia; Artiodactyla; Cervidae.
UUGCAGCUUCUUCAGUCGAGUUCUCUGUACUGAACGUGCUGGAGAGGGGAUGGAGAAAAGGGAGCCCUCCUCCACCGACGCUGACGAUGGAACCGGAGCCGCCACCGUGGAGGGCAGCGUGCUGGUUCCUGAAACAGUGAAGAGGAGAAUGAAAUCAGGACACUCCCGAACAACUCGACUGGAACAAACUGGAUUAUAUUGCAUGUAUUUAUCACAAUUGGUGGUCCUUAUGAAUAUAUAUGACAGGAUUGGGAUGAGCAGAAAUCAAUUUUCUGACAGGUAAUAAAGAUCGGAUAAGCAGUGGCA